GUCAGGAGAACUAGUUAUCUCAAUGAACGUGGCUCUGAAGACAACAUGGGGACAUCUUCUCUAAGGGUCAAUUAACCGUGGAGAGAAAUAUUCCCUAGAGUCCCUGGCUUUUUUCCAUCUUGGAACCAAGUUCUCUGUACUCUUUUUGUAUCCAACCCUUGUGAGAAGACAGUGAGAAAGAUCUAGCCUCUAUUACCCACAAGACACUUUUGAGGUUUCCCCAUGUGCCAUAUCAUAGAAGAGAAGUCAAGGAAUGGAAGCAGGAAGUUACUGCUAGCAUUCCUCACUCUCGCUGUUGGUCAUACUCCAAUUUUAUACACUACAUUAAUAUAACAUGUGAAAAGAUUUCAGAUACAGAAGUAAAAUAACAUCAUUAGCUAUCAGGGAAAUGCAAAUCAAAACUACAAAGAGGGAUCACCUCACCCUGGUCAGAAUGGCUAUAAUUAACAAGACAGGAAACAACAAAUAUUGAAGAGGAUGUGGAGAGAAGGGAGCGCUUGUUCACUGCUGGUGGGAGUGCAGACUGGUGCAGCCACUAUGGAAAGCAGUAUGGAGUUCCCUCAGAAAAUUAAGGAUAGAUCUACCAUAUGAUCCAGCUAUCCCACUGCUGGGUAUUUAUCCAAGGAACUUGAAAACACAAAGGCACAAAGAUACUGGCACCCCAUGUUCGUUGCAGCGUUAUACACAAUAGCCAAGACUUGGAAGCAACCUAGGUGCCCAUCAGGGGACGAAUGGAUAAAGAAGAUGUGGUAUUUAUACACGAUGGACUACUACUCAGCCAUAAGAAAAGAUGAAAUCUGGCCAUUUGUGACAACACGGAUGGGUCUUAAGGGUAUUAUGCUGAGUUAAAUAAGUCAGGGCGAGAAACUCAAAUUCCAUAUUAUCUCCCUCAUAAGUAAAGGAUAAAAACAAUGACAAACAAACACAUAGCAUUGGAGAUUGGAUUGGUGGUUAUCAUAGGAGGAGGGGGGCAGGGGGGAGGCAUAGGGGUGAUGAGGCUCCCAUGUGAGGUGACGGACUAUAAUUCAUUUUCUGGUGGUGAACACGAUGUAAUCUACACAGAAUUCGAAAUAUAUUAUGAUGUACAUCAGAAAAUAAAUAAAUAAUUAAUUUUAAAAAAAGAAACGUGACAGCUGCAUCAUGGUAAAGUCAGUUGUUCUCUUUGUCUGUCCACUUUAUGUUACACCUAGUGGGACAUCAAUUGACCAAAAAAGGACUCGCUGCAAAGAACACCAGAAUGCCUGAGACUUCCGUGCAUCUAUACGUCAAAAGUGGCUCUGGUGUUUCCAGCCGUGGGUACAGCAUCCACAGCACAGAUAUCCACAGCAAGGGUGGUGGUGCUCUGACCUGAGAUUUCAAAAUGCUCACCAGCGCGGGCCAGUGACCAGAGACUGCAGGAAGAACAAUGACAUUCGGUUUAGCCCUACCCCACCCCCACGAUGGUGGGGGGCGCCCAUGCCCUGAGACUGCAGGCAACACAGCAGUGCCAGUGAACGAGCCCCCUCCGUUUCCCCAGGCAGCAAUGACUCUGACCCUGGUCUUUCAACAUCAAGGGCUGCAUUCAAAAUGCAGAUACCACUGGCAGAGGCAGUGGUGCCCUGAUGCGAGGUUUCAAAAAUCACACUUACCCACAACAACCACCAGAGGCUACAGGAGGAGAAAAGGUACUUCUGGCUUCACACCUGCCCCUCCCACAGCAGUGUAAGGUAGCAUCUUCAACCUGAGGUUCAGGAGCCACAGCAGAACUUGUGACACAGCCUCCAGCGGCAGCACCUCUGACAUGGGCUCUACCACCAUUGGGGCUGCAUACCGGACCCUGGCCCAUGCAACACCAUAAAUCCAAUGCCUCUAACCCAUGUGUUUCUCUGGCAGUUCUCUUUGCCCAGGCAGAAAUGCAUCUGUCUUGGGUGGCUGUUCCAGUUACCUUUAGCUAGUUAACAAAUUAUCCUGAAACUUGGCAACUUGCAAGAAUUGUUUUAUUUUUCUACUAUUUUGUGGGUCAGGAGUUUGGGAAGGGUUUAGCUCGGCAGGUCUUCCGUGGGGACUCUCGUAUUGUUGCCAUCUGAUGGUGUGCAGGCUGUGUCAUCACCAGGCUAGACUGGGAUGAUCAUCCAAGAUGCCGUUUCUUCUUCUUGUCCUCUUUUAAGCCUAUUUAUUUUUAUUUUUAUUUCAGUGAUUAUGAAGACACAUAUCUAUUGAAGCUUCAGGUCAUUAAGCCAAUGCACUCCAAAUUCAUUUUCUCCUAUGCUGGCUGUGUCCACCAUUCCCUCAUCCCCUCUAACUUAGUCUGUCUCUUUCCAUUUGCCUUUUUCCCUUUAAAGUUGGAGAGAGGAAUCAAUUUUUCUUCCUUUGGUCUUACUUCCCUUCUGCUUUCACACACCUUUCCCUUCAGGACCUCACAUUAGAACUCUCCACACACUCUUCUCUUCCUGUGUGGCCAGAGCAUAAGCGAGAUGGGGGAUACGAAUCAACCUCUUUUGUUCUGGGUCCACUCCUUCCUGCCAUAGGUGUUACUAGGAAUAUAGGACAAGUGGUUUUCCUCAGGAAUGCAAUCUUUUCACAAGAGGGCAGUGCUUACAGGCUACAGAAAAAUUUUCUCCUACAGAGUCAUAUUCUGCUAAUGUGUCCAAACUGAGGAUCAUUGAUAAUAUCCUUAUAGAGAAGCUCUAAGCGUCUGUGUCCCACCUGCAGAAACAGAAUUCUUAUAUAAGGGUCAGUUUAAUUUGAGAAAUACCUAGACUUUCUCUAUAUUUUACUAGGAAUGAGCCAAGUUUCCUAUGUUUGUAUGCCAGGAAAGGGCAGGGAAUAAAUAAUCUGUGAGGUCUUUCCUCUCCAUUAGAUUCUGUUUCACUAAUGGUUUCAGGAACAAUAGAGUUGGGCUUUCUCUUUUUUCCUACAUUUAAUCAAACUGCACUUGUCCUAUGUCUGAUUGACUGUUAAUGUCAUGAUGCUGCCACAUUUUGUUUUGCUCAUGAGUAAGAUGGAAAUUCACAUCCAAGUCCCUUACCCUUCACGUUGUCAACAUUUAUAUCAGUUGCCAUAUGAGUUAAAGUCACUACUUCUGCAGGUAGAAUUGCAUCUGGAGAGGAAAAGAUGAAGUAAGUCCGUAUAGGUCUGAAGUUGGACCUCUUCUUGCUCUUUGAUGUCUUCUGCAUCUGUCUGCCUUUCUAUUCUUUCUUAGUAAUUUGUCUAAUAUCUCUCUCAUUCUCUGACCCUCUCUUGGGCUUCCCGCGCUUUUUUCUCCACAAGUUUUCAAAAUGUAGUUCAGAAACAUUUUUAUCACUGUGUUUGUUUUAUGUAUAUUCAACGUGCCAUGUGUAGCUGGAA
This 3327-nucleotide long non-coding RNA is filed under the name Equus caballus (horse). RNAcentral's name for it is "lncRNA (ENSECAG00000055097.1)". The record is from RNAcentral. Lineage: Eukaryota; Metazoa; Chordata; Mammalia; Perissodactyla; Equidae.